This 408-nucleotide ribosomal RNA is filed under the name uncultured microorganism. RNAcentral describes it as "bacterial SSU rRNA". It matches the Rfam family "Archaeal small subunit ribosomal RNA", at positions 459 to 872 of the family's 1478-position model. The record is from RNAcentral.
CAGCCGCCGCGGUAAUACCGGCGGCCCGAGUGGCGGCCACUAUUAUUGGGCUUAAAGCGUCCGUAGCCGGGUUGGUUAGUCUCCCGGGAAAUCUGGCCGCUUAACGGUCAGAAUUCCGGGAGAUACUGCCAGCCUAGGGACCGGGAGAGGCCGAGGGUAUUCCCGGAGUAGGGGUGAAAUCCUAUAAUCCCGGGAGGACCACCUGUGGCGAAGGCGCUCGGCUGGAACGGGUCCGACGCUGAGACCCGAAAGCGUGGGGAGCAAACCGGAUUAGAUCCCCGGGUAGUCCACGCCGUAAACGGUGGGCACUAGGUGUGGGGGGUUAAUCCCUCCGUGCCGAAGCUAACGCAUUAAGUGCCCCGCCUGGGGAGUACGGCCGCAAGGUUGAAACUUAAAGGAAUUGGCGGG